Molecule: long non-coding RNA, 2654 nt
Filed under: Triticum aestivum (bread wheat)
Lineage: Eukaryota; Viridiplantae; Streptophyta; Magnoliopsida; Poales; Poaceae
Description: long non-coding RNA (TAES_LNC006440)
Source: RNAcentral
UCUAAUCCCAACCCUUUGUAUGAUAUUUUUGUCAUCUAGAUUUUUAUAGAUGGUUAUGUUGUAUGUUCAUAUUCAUAUGUUGGCUCGGAGAUCCCUUUUGUGGCUUCUACUUUAUCAUGAAGAUUGUCGACAAGGAUUGAGAAGACAUAAUUGCUUACUAAUUAGAUUUCCAUAGAUGGUUAUGUUGUAUGUUCAUAUUCAUAUGUUGGCUCGCAGAUCCCUUUUCUGGCUUCUACUUUAUCAUGAAGAUUGUCGACAAGGAUUGAUAAGAGAUAAUUGCUUACUAAUUGCUCGUGUGUUUUUCAUCUCAGUGCUUCUCGGUGCCCUUCAUAAAGAACUUUCUCCCCGGAUUGUCUAUCAAAUCUCCAGUUGGAAAUAUCAGUCUACAGGCCCGUCUGAUAAAAUUAACCUUUAACAACCAACUGGAUGAUUAGCUGCUCCAUCAUGCUACAUACGCCUCUUUGUUGAGUGUUUUUCCCCGUUUUCUUGGAGAGUGCUACCUUUGCAAUGGUUUGGCCAUAAAUCUGUUGUCCGCACAAGUAGUACUGCUAAUUUGCCCUUUUUAAUGACGAUUUAUGCUUUCCGUACGCAAGUAUUUUAUUUGCAGUUUUGCAUUAGCCAAAUACUGAACUUCAGUGGGAGACAUUCACUGUUUUUCAGAUUUGAUGGAAAAACAAAAAAUAUGCCGCCAAUCGGCGUAAUUUUAUAACCGUUCUCGUCAUCUGAGUAACAUCCGAAAUGGCUAAUCUGAUCGGUUUUGCUGCUUGUGUAGAACCGACGACAAGCUUGUUGGCGGGCAUCUGGCAGGAUCGGUGAACAUCCUCUACAUGUACAAUACCAGCUCAGGCAAUUAUUAGAACUCUGUCAGUUAGUUAAGCUCUUGUGAUCAUUGAAAGGGAGGGGGGAUUAAGGUGUUUCCAUCAACAACCAUUUAUUGGUCGAGUGGACUCAGAACUGGAUUCGUACUGAAAAAUCAGGGUUGGCAUCAUGAUAACAAGCAUGGUCACCUUAAGUCUCAACUCUGAGCCUCCUCUUGGAAAAAAUGCCCGCAUUCCAAACAAGUCCAUUUACAGACUCUAAACCUCCUCUAUGAGCACCAAGUAGACACUCUCUUUGCUAUGUUUUGGCACAAAGAGCCAGACAUCAAGUACUACGUGUGCACAAUCAACAGGACAUUUGCCAAACCAGGCCAGCGCAUGGUAUGCUCAAAUGCACAGCCUAUUCAAUGUUUACUAACUUCAUAAUGUAGCAAGUUGUAUCUCCAUACCACACAACUCCCACUUUUUAUUGUUUUUUUAACAGAAAAGAUGCUCAUUUAUUCUAACCGAGUAUCUGUGCUUUUAACCUUAUCUUUUCAACACCACUACUAAUGCUUUAAUGCCAUCCGCACACUGUAUAUGAAAAUGAUUAAUUUGCCUUGUGUAAGCCCAAUUUUCUUUCAUCGCCAUUCUUUACCACUCUCAUACUUAGUUAUACUCAAUCAGAUUCAUUGAACUCGCUUUUACAAUAUUACUUGUUUUUUCUUAGAGCUCUAUAAUCUACUGUAGUCGACCAUUCAAUUACAAGCACAUCUAUUUUUAGUUCUUCAUCUUCCUUUACUACUUCACUCUUUUCAUGAGCUUCACCAGCCAUUUUACAGAAUAUGAAAUGUUGUUUUCUUAUGCAUUUUAAUUACCUUUACAACUGUAACUUUGUGAUGAUACAAACGAAAGUUGCACAUAUUUUCCUAUUUAUACUAUUGUUCUAUCCAUGCUUAAAAUAUAACAAAUCAUAUUCUGUUCAUACUACUUAACAGUCAGCAGUUUACUUAUGUUACAAAUACCAAUUAUAUUCCCUUUCUCACCUGAUCAACACCUGAUCUGUUGUUAUUUUUCUCCUACCACUUAUGAAAUUUCUACUUUGCCUUUUCUAGCUUACCAUUUUUUCAUUCGUUUGUUCUCUGUUCAUACACUAAGCUGUACAUACUCAAAUCGUCAAUUGCACACCAGAAAUAUUGACUUCUCUUUGCUCUUUCAUGAGCCAUUUUACUUGACCAUUCAGAAUGUUGGGUCCUCAAGACGUGUAGUGAAUAACAGUACUUUGCUAACACCAUUAAUAUCAUGAAUAUCCAUAGAACACGCUCUUAUCUUUCAUAUCACACAACAAUUUAUGUCCAUGUAAAUAACUUACUUUCUUCUACCAGUAUUUUUAGGUUAACUAUACUGAAGAGAACUUGCAGGACUACAUUGAUCCAAACAAUGAUACACUCAUGGUCAUACUUGCAGACCGCCAUCUGCUCGCCGAAUGUUGCAUCAUGCUAGGAAUGGACAAAAGGGCCACUAUAACCACCAACUGGCCUGAGUUUUGUCGCCGCGCCAACAUUCGCGAGGGAGACAUAUGUGCAUUUCGUUUCAGGAUAACUUCAAAGCGCCGCCUGGUCCUCACCGUGCACUACCUCUAGAUGCACCAUCGAAGAUGAUGCAGCCCCUGUGUCAAUAUAAUCUAGCAUUAAGUACUCCUAAUUAUGUUAUAUCCUGUGAUAACCUAUCGGUUGCUUUUGGGUCCUCUUAUCACAUGCUUUUCAAGACACUAAACCUACGUUGCUGCUUAUGUUAAGUGCACUAUUGUCAGUCAGAUGUUUCAUGUUCAGAUCCAUAAUGAGCUUUCUCUGUAAA